This is a non-coding RNA of Protopterus annectens (West African lungfish), 72 nucleotides long. Lineage: Eukaryota; Metazoa; Chordata; Ceratodontiformes; Protopteridae. The record is from the annotation of a RefSeq genome assembly.
GGGGGUAUAGCUCAGUGGUAGAGCAUUUGACUGCAGAUCAAGAGGUUCCUGGUUCAUAUCCAGGUGUCCCCU